AUGGAAGAAAGUGUCGCCAACAAUGAAGUUGACAUAUCGGUGACCAUUGAUCUUGGCAACUUCGAUCACGAAAUGGAAGAACGUGUCGCCAACAAUGAAGUUGAUUUAUCGUAUAUUCCCUCAGUGUGCGAAACAAGUGCAGAGACGACCAUUGAAUCCGAGAGCAACUCCAUUCUAACCACUGAGCGGAGGUUCAUUGUACAUAAGAGAAAGUUGCUGGCGCUCUUUGCAUCGUGCCCAAAAUGCCACAAAAGUGUUCUUCCUGAGGUCUGCGUUUCUGCGACGUCAGUUAAAAUCUGGACGACAUGUUCCGAUGGCCACGUUAGAUCGUGGGAGAGCCAGCCAACGGCGGAGAAAACAUCAUUUGGAAACCUGAUGGUGGCUGGAGGAAUAUUGUUCUCUGGCCUGAGCCCAAGCACGACGUUGAGGCUCCUGACCACCAUCGGAGUAGCGACCUACUGCACGAGAACAUUCUUCCGAUACCAGACGGAUCUUCUGUUGCCUGCAGUGCAACAAGUUUGGAAUGAGGCACAAAAAGACCAUCUGGAGAAGAUUAAGCUGCCUGUUGCACUUGCCGGUGAUGGGCGCGCCGAUUCACCAGGAUUUUCGACAAAAAAUGGAAACUACACAUUGUUGGACAAGAGAACAAACAAAAUAUUGCAUGCGGAGUUGGUACAAUCAAACAAACUUGGGGGCAGUGCCCGCAUGGUGCUCGAAGGCCUUGUACUGUCCAUACGGCACGUUGAAGGAUGGGGAGUAUCCAUAUCCAUACAUUGGUCACUGACAGGCAUUCGCAGAUAAGGAAGUGCCUGAGGGAACAACAUCCAGAUAUUAAGCGUCUGUUUGACUGUGGCACGUUGCAAAAAGUUAAAUAUUAUUUCCUCACAAAGUAUGCUAUUUUAUUCUUAUAA
This is an RNA transcript of Ixodes scapularis (black-legged tick), 911 nucleotides long. RefSeq lists it as uncharacterized. The transcript has 5 exons. The record is from RefSeq and is a predicted model, not a curated record. NCBI's taxonomy places the organism in Eukaryota, Metazoa, Arthropoda, Arachnida, Ixodida, Ixodidae.